UAUAAAGAAGUGUCUGAGGUAACAGCUGUGUCUGGAUCACUUACACUAAGGUCUUCUGAUGGCAAAGCCUGGAGCUACGAUGCGUGAGAUGCCUUAGCACAAAUGGUGUUCUCUUCUCCUUAGACCUGAAAGCCCCCUGGCUGGCUCACAGUUCCCAUGAAAAUUGCUGCUGAAACUGUCAUCGGAGGCUUGAGUGAGAAUCAGGAGAAAGCAGAAAUGGCAGAGAUGAGUGGAAAUUCAAAGACUUUAAGAACAGAAUGAUGAGCGAGACCAGUGUUACUACCAUAUUUUUCCUUCGCAUUGUAAUCAGUCUCCCAUUUCUGCAAUAUGAAGGAUUCUUCAUGUGAGAAAAUAGGCUACUAUCGCGAGAGUCAGCAAGUAACUAGCUUUCAUUAAAGUCGGAAUCAGAAAUGAUCUUUCAUGGGACAGAGGAUGACUGUGACUUCCUCACCAUUUUUUUUGUAUUUCCUGUAUAUUAUCUGAAGUAGGUUGCUUGUGCCCUAAAUCUGAGCCAUCUCUGUGCUAGUUUUUUGUCGGUAGUACUCAGCAUAGGCUCUGAUUUUUCCUUGGAGCCUCUAUACGCUUGCUGCAAGACAAACAGCAAUACUUCAUAAAUAUAUACAGCAGAAUCAUUGUACAGCUUCCUCUGAACACAAAACCUCAUUAUUUUCACAAGUAAUUCUCAAGUAUUUUGAAUUUUAAGUUGGCAGAUGAGAAUGUAUGGCAUUUAUUUGUUAAAAUUCCACCAUAGAGUCUCUUUAUAAUACCUUUCAUGAAUGUAGCCCACUUUUCAAGUGGGUGAAUUGGCUGCUCGUCAUGUAAACAAUGUGUUAUUGAAAUGUUGAUGCAUUACUCCCAUAGAGUAAACACCUUGGGGAGGUGGGGUGCUGGAUUUGCAAUGCAAACAUAAGGAUGCAGAACUGGACUGCCACUCAGUGGUGCUGGAGAUCAUCAGUUCUUCAGCCACUACCCAUUGGCACUGACGUGGUUGAACACAGCUACAAAAUCAACCAGGGGCAGACAUUCUUCAGUCAAGUUCAACUAAGUGGCCCACAAGGGAGCUGUCUCUGUUGUCCAAGCUAGCAAGAUACAUUUAUGAGCCAGCACCCGUAAAUAAAGAAGGCAAGCUACAUCUGUCCUCCAGCACUUGAGGUCACUGAGCAAUUCCAGAACCACCUCAAUUCUCAGAGGACACGUCUUCUGAGCAGCACAGGGGAUAGAUGGUGUCAUAUCCCUCAUUCUUCUGGGCCACUGAUGGCAUAGCAGCCAUUUACAGCAUUUCUUGGUGGAAAGCAAGCAGAUACGGACCUCUUCCAGCCACAAGAAUGCGCUGACCUUAUGGAAAAAGCUAUGAUUGUGCAUCUGACAAUUAUAAAAAGGCAAGAAACCUCCUUCAUUACAGAUAAUCAGCGAAAGCCAUUUGAAACUUAAAAUUUUACUAGAAGUGUUUAAAUAAUCAUUAAAAUAAUUAUUGUCAAACUUUAUUCCCAUGCAUGCCAUGUGACCCAGCAUUCAGGAUUUUAAGAAAAAUCAAGCGAAC
Molecule: long non-coding RNA, 1540 nt
Organism: Aptenodytes forsteri (emperor penguin)
Lineage: Eukaryota; Metazoa; Chordata; Aves; Sphenisciformes; Spheniscidae
Exons: 4
Source: RefSeq, a predicted model, not a curated record